This 474-nucleotide ribosomal RNA is filed under the name uncultured bacterium. Its description in RNAcentral is "bacterial SSU rRNA". It matches the Rfam family "Bacterial small subunit ribosomal RNA", at positions 28 to 507 of the family's 1533-position model. The record is from RNAcentral.
GAUGAACGCUAGCUACAGGCUUAACACAUGCAAGUCGAGGGGUCUGCUUCGGCAGACGACCGGCGCACGGGUGAGUAACGCGUAUCCAACCUGCCCUUCAUAUUGGUAUAGCCUCCCGAAAGGGAGAUUAAUCCCCGAAUAACAUACCAAAGUUGCCUGAUUUUGGUAUGAAAGCUCCGGCGAUGAAGGAUGGGGAUGCGUUCCAUUAGGUAGUAGGCGGGGUAACGGCCCACCUAGCCGACGAUGGAUAGGGGUUCUGAGAGGAAGGUCCCCCACAUUGGAACUGAGACACGGUCCAAACUCCUACGGGAGGCAGCAGCGAGGAAUAUUGGUCAAUGGACGGAAGUCUGAACCAGCCAAGUCGCGUGAAGGAUGAAGGUUCUAUGGAUUGUAAACUUCUUUUGUCUGAGGGUAAAAAAGCGGACGUGUCCGUUCUUGCAAGUAUCAGACGAAUAAGCAUCGGCUAACUCCGUG